Long non-coding RNA from Dipodomys spectabilis (banner-tailed kangaroo rat), 2196 nucleotides. RefSeq lists it as uncharacterized. The transcript is spliced from 3 exons. The record is from RefSeq and is a predicted model, not a curated record. Lineage: Eukaryota; Metazoa; Chordata; Mammalia; Rodentia; Heteromyidae.
UGAUGAGACUGGUGUGAUGGAUAAUCUUCUAGAAGCCCUGCAAUCAGGUGCAGCAUUCAGAGACCGUAGAAAGCGGAUUCCGAGGAACUCAGAUAACAGACGAGUACCUUUGGAAAGGUCACGCUCUCGCCACAAUGGAGGAACCUUGUCAUCUAAGUGAUUGCUGAUACCAAAGAAUAUGAAAAUAUUUAAGUAAACAAAAUCAGAUAAUUUGAGAAGAACAAAACAUUCACUCAAGGGUUGGAGUCAACUAAAUGCAUUUCUGUAAAGUUCAGCCAACCUGGAUAAAGUAGUGUGUGUUUGUAAACAGUACUCCUCCCACAAUUAUACUAAUUUGAGCACAACUGUCAUGGUUAUAAUAUUACAUUUACACUUAAGGGUAAUGCUAUAUAUUAGUUGUCAUUGUGUAACCUGGCUCUGAAGAGGAAAGUAUUAGAAAUUGAAGAGUUCUAAGGCUUUCAAAAACAUUCAAUCUGUCAAAAAAUUUAAAUCUGAUAUGGCUGGGUCACGCCGGCUCUACUCCCCAAAACAAGAAGAGUAAGAAGCAAGAGAACAAAAGAAAUAGAAUUAUUUAGCAUCUGCUUCUACCAUUUAUUAUGUAUCUAAAAGGAAAAGAUCUAGAAAGAUAUUCAUGCUAGUGUUUUGAAAAGGGGCUCAUAUUGCCCACCAUUUGGGGAUUUCAACAAACAUACUGUUCUACCCCAGCCAAGUUAUUUAGAAUCUUGUCACAAGUGAAAACUGAUGGAUUCAAUUACUUUGGCUGAAAGUAAACUUAUCAUUAGUCUAGUUUUCCAGCAUGAUAUUGCAGGCACUUAUCAUUGCUAAAAAUAAACCAAAGUUUAAAGAAUUAGUUAGGGAAAAUGAUUUAAACCUUAAAGAAGUAUUUUCUAAUUAUGCAUAGAUAUCUAGUUUAUACUAAUACUUUCUAUUGCUAUUUUAAGAGGAAAAACCUACAUUUUAAUGUUUAUGCUAGAGAUGAACCUGAAAAUUCUAAUACCUUUAUUUAGAUUUUAAAGUAAAACACUGAUUCAUAUUUUGUGGUGGUUUUUUUCUCCCUAUUCUUUCUCCCUUGACCCCCUUGAAGGGAGUGGAGAGAGUUCUAAAAGACUUGAGAGGAAACAGAUUUCUUAUCAAGGAGGCAAUAAAAGGUGAAUUGUUUUUCUCCCUUUUAACUCCCCUUGCCUACUUGAGUGAUCUGAAGAAGAAAUUCUAUGUAUGUAUGUAUAUAUGUUUGCAUAUAUUUAUAUCUCUCUAUAUAUCUUUGCAGUGAUUCCAUAUCUCAGUAACAAGUGAAUUUCUCAGUCAUCAUUAUAUUUACUUACUUUCUAUUAACAAAUUUAACAAUGUUGCUAGAAUAACUCUCAGAAGGAAAACAAGCUCAACAUUUUUUAAGUAGUUGAGAGAGUGAAAGUUUUACUUAACAUGUCUGUAAGUUGAAAAUACAUGUUGAAAUAAUUGCUAUAUGUUCUCUAGAGUAUAAUUUUAAGACUAAUUCAUGCAGAAUAUUGUGAUUACUGUAAAAGAUUUUUGUAUCUAUAUUUCUUAUAUAGAAAAUCCUAUUUUUACUUCUCUAAAGAGCAUUAUAGACUUUUGCACCCAAGAACAAUGGCUAGUUUAAAAAGUCACCAUCUGAGAUAAUAUAAACAAGUGACCACUAGUUCUGAUUCUUAACUCUGGAGUUGUUACAUUAGAGAAAUCAAGUAGUACCAAUAUCUGAAAUUUUCCAUUUUUCUUAUCUAAAAGUAUACAUGCACAUACUUGCAUGAACACAUGCACAUAGACACACAAACAUAUUUAAGGACAUAUCAAUUUUGUGCACCCUUUUUAUUAACAACUACCACAAAGGUUAGGUUCUAUUAAUUUAUGUAAAUAUCUAUUGCAUUUUGAAUUCACAAAGUCUUUUAUGAGGUCUUUGUGGUAUUUCAUAUUUGAGGCUCUUAAUAACUUUUCAUGUUAUAGAAAAACACCUCAAAUUGGGGGUAUUUGCCAUGCCAUAUUAUCAAGCUGGUCAAGGUAGAAAUACUGAUGUUUAUAUCACCUUUUCUGGAUGUGAACUUGCCUUAUUUUCUAGCUUGUGAAGAAGUAAGAAUGGAGCACUAUUAUUGAUAAAUUAUGUAUUUGUAUUUCAAGCAAUUCCACAUGCUUUUCACAAACAUCAAAAGCCUUUCAGAGCCUAAUUAAAAUAAAACUUUUGAU